GUGCACCAGUCGCGAAAACUCCGCAAUACGCGAAAGCGUGACGGGGCUACCCCGAGUGUCGUCCGCUGAGGACGACUUUUCCACGCUGUAAGGAGGCGUGGGAAUAAGGAGAGGGCAAGUCUGGUGUCAGCCGCCGCGGUAAUACCAGCUCUCCGAGUGGUAGGGACGAUUAUUGGGCUUAAAGCGUCCGUAGCCGGCUCAGCAAGUCUCCCGUUAAAUCCAACGAUUCAAUCGUUGGACUGCGGGAGAUACUGUUGAGCUAGGAGGCGGGAGAGGCCGACGGUAUUCCCGGAGUAGGGGUGAAAUCCUAUAAUCCUGGGGGGACCGCCAGUGGCGAAGGCGUUCGACUAGAACAGGCUUGACGGUGAGGGACGAAAGCCAGGGGCGCGAACCGGAUUAGAUACCCGUGUAGUCC
RNAcentral lists this ribosomal RNA (415 nucleotides) under uncultured crenarchaeote. RNAcentral describes it as "partial 16S ribosomal RNA". It matches the Rfam family "Archaeal small subunit ribosomal RNA", at positions 330 to 747 of the family's 1478-position model. The record is from RNAcentral. Lineage: Archaea; Thermoproteati; Thermoproteota.